RNAcentral lists this transfer RNA (80 nucleotides) under Scleroderma citrinum Foug A. It matches the Rfam family "tRNA". Rfam says of the family: Transfer RNA (tRNA) molecules are approximately 80 nucleotides in length. Their secondary structure includes four short double-helical elements and three loops (D, anti-codon, and T loops). Lineage: Eukaryota; Fungi; Basidiomycota; Agaricomycetes; Boletales; Sclerodermataceae. The record is from Rfam by way of RNAcentral.
UCGGAUAUGGUGUAACGGCUAACAUUGCCGCCUCUCAUUCCUGAACGCGGCAGCUCGGGGUUCGAUUCCCCGUAUCCGAG